UUUUAGGGUUUGGUCUCGAUCUACGGUUUGGGGGACUCUUGGUGUCAAGGAAGGCUCUCAACAUCCUCUUCUAACCACUAGAGAGUGGUGUUGUAAGUUGUGGAUCUCACAAAGUUCAUUUAAGCACUUGUAGUUCAUUUCCCGUAGGUGUCGGAACUGCUGACAGUUUGCGUUGGAACUUCUGACAACGUCGGAAGUUCUGACCCAAACUGUCGGGACUUCCGA
RNAcentral lists this long non-coding RNA (225 nucleotides) under Sorghum bicolor (sorghum). RNAcentral describes it as "long non-coding RNA (SBIC_LNC012361)". Lineage: Eukaryota; Viridiplantae; Streptophyta; Magnoliopsida; Poales; Poaceae. The record is from RNAcentral.